RNAcentral lists this ribosomal RNA (467 nucleotides) under uncultured bacterium. RNAcentral's name for it is "partial 16S ribosomal RNA". It matches the Rfam family "Bacterial small subunit ribosomal RNA", at positions 29 to 507 of the family's 1533-position model. The record is from RNAcentral.
ACGAACGCUGGCGGCGUGCUUAACACAUGCAAGUCGAACGGAAAGGCCCUGCUUUUGUGGGGUGCUCGCGUGGCGAACGGGUGAGUAACACGUGAGUAACCUGCCCUUGACUUUGGGAUAACUUCAGGAAACUGGGGCUAAUACCGGAUAGGAGCUCCUGCUGCAUGGUGGGGGUUGGAAAGUUUCGGCGGUUGGGGAUGGACUCGCGGCUUAUCAGCUUGUUGGUGGGGUAGUGGCUUACCAAGGCUUUGACGGGUAGCCGGCCUGAGAGGGUGACCGGCCACAUUGGGACUGAGAUACGGCCCAGACUCCUACGGGAGGCAGCAGUGGGGAAUAUUGCACAAUGGGCGGAAGCCUGAUGCAGCAACGCCGCGUGCGGGAUGAAGGCCUUCGGGUUGUAAACCGCUUUCGCCUGUGACGAAGCGUGAGUGACGGUAAUGGGUAAAGAAGCACCGGCUAACUACGUG